GCUAACACCGAGGGAGCAUUUAUUUCGGAGGUAUCAUUUGUCAGAGCGCACAAAAUGAAAGUAAGCUCACCAUUGAAAAGCUGGAGGAGCUGGUCAGGUGAAAAGCGAUCCAGCUAUGAGCGGUGAGCUGGAAAGCCGACCCUCAGUUUUUCUUUCUUUUGUCUUAGUUAUUUUAGUUUGUUUUAAUUGUUAUUGCCUGGAACCUGUGAGGGUGAAGGGUGAAGGAGUUUGAUUUAUUAUUAUUAUUUGAUUUAUUUUAUUUCCUGUUGGUGUGGGUGCACACCCGGCCGCAUCUCCCUCCCAGGGGUGUCACACCAGUAUGUGACAGAUAUAUUUUCACAUUUUGAGCCUUUCAUUUUUCAGUGGCUAAAAACUAGUGACGUACAAACUCGUGACAUUGAAUUAUCGACUUCCCAUGCUUUAGCUGGAACACACUUUGCAAAGAAGCUGUUAGAAAAAAAGUUCCUCAUAAGAGUCAAUCUAACGAUUGUGUUUGGGAAACUCACUUAACAUCGCUUAAAAACCUCGUAAACACACUGAUUAAUCCUAAAAUACAACGAUAUCAGGAAACCUAAUCUGCUGCGAAGUGGACUCGAACAGUUUCAAUGAAAAGUCAAACUAGUAGAAUGGGACAGUAAUGCUUCAGCCUUGGCAGGUGGGUCACUUUUCCCCAAAGAAAUGGGCGGUGCAGGAAAUCUGUUCUUCUGUCAAAUGAAACCUAUACAUGGAUUAGGAAGAAAGAUGAUGCAGUUCACAAACAUGACAAAGGCUCUGUUGUGCUUGUGCUGAACGGUGUUGUUCAUCACUCUGAAAAUACUAAAAUAAGGUGCAUGCUGUACCUCA
Long non-coding RNA from Anguilla rostrata (American eel), 843 nucleotides. RefSeq lists it as uncharacterized. NCBI's taxonomy places the organism in Eukaryota, Metazoa, Chordata, Actinopteri, Anguilliformes, Anguillidae. The transcript has 3 exons. The record is from RefSeq and is a predicted model, not a curated record.